Zalophus californianus (California sea lion) is the source of this 405-nucleotide long non-coding RNA. RefSeq lists it as uncharacterized. The record is from RefSeq and is a predicted model, not a curated record. The transcript is spliced from 4 exons. NCBI's taxonomy places the organism in Eukaryota, Metazoa, Chordata, Mammalia, Carnivora, Otariidae.
GCUAAGAUUACCUAGAAUAUCUGCUUGCUUCUCUCUGUAGAAUAUGUUGUAAGAAUAAAUGAGAUAAUUUAGGCACUUUGAGAUCCUAGGAAGAAAGUGCAUUCUAUUUAUUCGAGUUAUUAUCACCUGAAGUGAUCUGUAAAUUCUCAGAGGAUACCAAAGUCUCCUGAAUAUUCCCACUUCUCAAGACAUAAGCAACAAACCAAAUGGACUUCAUGCAAAAUUAUUGACUACUCUGUGCCUCUCAGCCUCAAUUAACCCCUAAUUCUAUGCACCUGGGAGCCAAAGCAAACCAUAAGGAGCCACAGGCACUACCCUGAUGAAGCAUCUCUGGAAGGAGGUCUCACAUGAUUUUAUUUAUUUAUUAGAGAGAGAGACACAGAGAGAGAGCACAAGCAGGGGGAG